Molecule: small nucleolar RNA, 138 nt
Organism: Ornithorhynchus anatinus (platypus)
Lineage: Eukaryota; Metazoa; Chordata; Mammalia; Monotremata; Ornithorhynchidae
Source: RefSeq, a predicted model, not a curated record
UCCCUCUCAGAGUCACACCUGGAGAGUUUUCAAUCCUCUACCAGUCUUGACUGAGGGAGGGAGAGUCAAGCAGAGACCUACCCAUUCCAUUCCCAGCUUGGCCAGUGGCUAGCGAGGGGAAGACAAUCUGCUUCAAGU